This 67-nucleotide transfer RNA is filed under the name Marmota monax (woodchuck). Its description in RNAcentral is "tRNA.Ala". Lineage: Eukaryota; Metazoa; Chordata; Mammalia; Rodentia; Sciuridae. The record is from RNAcentral.
GGUUGUGGCUCAGUGGUAGAGUGCUUGCCUAGCAUUUGUGAGGCGCUAGGUUCAAUCCUUAGCACCA